GACGAACGCCGGCGGCGUGCUUAACACAUGCAAGUCGAACGGAAAGGCCCUGCUUUUGUGGGGUGCUCGAGUGGCGAACGGGUGAGUAACACGUGAGUAACCUGCCCUUGACUUUGGGAUAACUUCAGGAAACUGGGGCUAAUACCGGAUAGGAGCUCCUGCUGCAUGGUGGGGGUUGGAAAGUUUCGGCGGUUGGGGAUGGACUCGCGGCUUAUCAGCUUGUUGGUGGGGUAGUGGCUUACCAAGGCUUUGACGGGUAGCCGGCCUGAGAGGGUGACCGGCCACAUUGGGACUGAGAUACGGCCCAGGCUCCUACGGGAGGCAGCAGUGGGGAAUAUUGCACAAUGGGCGGAAGCCUGAUGCAGCAACGCCGCGUGCGGGAUGACGGCCUUCGGGUUGUAAACCGCUUUCGCCUGUGACGAAGCGUGAGUGACGGUAAUGGGUAAAGAAGCACCGGCUAACUACGUGCCAGCAGCCGCGGUGAUACGUAGGGUGCGAGCGUUGUCCGGAUUUAUUGGGCGUAAAGGGCUCGUAGGUGGUUGAUCGCGUCGGAAGUGUAAUCUUGGGGCUUAACCCUGAGCGUGCUUUCGAUACGGGUUGACUUGAGGAAGGUAGGGGAGAAUGGAAUUCCUGGUGGAGCGGUGGAAUGCGCAGAUAUCAGGAGGAACACCAGUGGCGAAGGCGGUUCUCUGGGCCUUUCCUGACGCUGAGGAGCGAAAGCGUGGGGAGCGAACAGGCUUAGAUACCCUGGUAGUCCACGCUGUAAACGGUGGGUACUAGGUGUGGGGUCCAUUCCACGGGUUCCGUGCCGUAGCUAACGCUUUAAGUACCCCGCCUGGGGAGUACGGCCGCAAGGCUAAAACUCAAAGGAAUUGACGGGGCCCCGCACAAGCGGCGGAGCAUGCGGAUUAAUUCGAUGCAACGCGUAGAACCUUACCUGGGUUUGACAUGGAUCGGGAGUGCUCAGAGAUGGGUGUGCCUCUUUUGGGGUCGGUUCACAGGUGGUGCAUGGCUGUCGUCAGCUCGUGACGUGAGAUGUUGGGUUAAGUCCCGCAACGAGCGCAACCCUUGUUCACUGUUGCCAGCACGUUAUGGUGGGGACUCAGUGGAGACCGCCGGGGUCAACUCGGAGGAAGGUGGGGAUGACGUCAAGUCAUCAUGCCCCUUAUGUCCAGGGCUUCACGCAUGCUACAAUGGCUGGUACAGAGAGUGGCGAGCCUGUGAGGGUGAGCGAAUCUCGGAAAGCCGGUCUCAGUUCGGAUCGGGGUCUGCAACUCGACCUCAUGAAGUCGGAGUCGCUAGUAAUCGCAGAUCAGCAACGCUGCGGUGAAUACGUUCCCGGG
This 1343-nucleotide ribosomal RNA is filed under the name uncultured bacterium. Its description in RNAcentral is "16S ribosomal RNA". It matches the Rfam family "Bacterial small subunit ribosomal RNA", at positions 28 to 1378 of the family's 1533-position model. The record is from RNAcentral.